UACAGAGGUCUCAAGCGUUGUUUGGAUUCAUUGGGCGUAAAGGGCGUGUAGGCGGUUAUUUAAGUCAGGUGUGAAAGCCCUGGGCUUAACCUAGGAAUUGCGCUUGAGACUGGAUAGCUUGGAGUGCGGCAGAGGGAGGUGGAAUUCCACGUGUAGCAGUGAAAUGCGUAGAGAUGUGGAGGAACACCGAUGGCGAAGGCAGCCUCCUGGGCCAGCACUGACGCUCAUGCACGAAAGCGUGGGGAGCAAACGGG
This 254-nucleotide ribosomal RNA is filed under the name uncultured bacterium. RNAcentral's name for it is "partial 16S ribosomal RNA". It matches the Rfam family "Bacterial small subunit ribosomal RNA", at positions 524 to 776 of the family's 1533-position model. The record is from RNAcentral.